GAUUUAGGGUAUAGACAAGAGAUUGGCGCCAAGGCCCAUUCUCAAGGCCCAAGGUUGGCCUAGUUCAUUGUAGGGGGUUCAUCAAGCCUUGGAGGUGCGCGGAUAGGAAUUUAAUGGACCUUGAGGAAGGUCGGGCCCAGGACCAGAUGCUCAUGAGAGGAAAGGGAGUGGGUCAAGCAUCCUAUUCAUGUUCAGAAGACUUAACACAUCACAUUUCAAGCCUUGGUCGGAAUUCCACCUCCGCCGCACCGGGAAUCGCCUCUGGCGGCGACGGAGGGCCAAACACCAAAAAUCCCACACCACUCCAAUCAUCUCAGCUUCCUCUUUCAGUAUCCAACAUCAAACUCACACAAUUCCAAACCUAAAUCCCUAAACAAAACCUAAUGCUAUGAAUCCAACUAACUUUUUGAUUUCUAUGUGUUAACUGCCAGGGAACUCGGUUUCAAUCGGAUGCAAUGUUAUUCACAAGUGAAAAUGAAAUUCAGUUAGGAAAAUGAGAGUGAAAAUGUGAAAUGCUGAGAAGUUAGUGAAAUGUGAAAAUUCAAUUAAAUGCGUUUAUCUAUUAAAAAUUAACUGUUCUUUUUAUCAAUUCAACUCUAGUUAUGUUUAAUUUCUGUUGGUGACAAAAAAUGUACAAUUAAAUUCAGUUAAUUGGUGAGGUACAUGGUGUAAGCUCAUUGUUGAGACUCAAUUGCUAUUGGUUAAUUGUUAGACUGAAAUUGAAAUGUCAUGUUCCUGUGAAAUGAUAUUUAUAGGUAUUAAAACAAGGGGAAUUAGCUUAAUGUUAUCCUGAGUUAGUUAUUAUUGAAAACUAAUUGAUUCUAAGUUGUUAAGUAUUAUUUUGAUUAGGUUGCAGAAUGCUGACUUUUGUUAUGGUUUUGGCUAUGUAUGGCAGGUUGGUCAAUGUUGUAGAAUGCUUGGAUGGUUUUGCAACUUGGUAUGCUAUGUAUUAUUGUUUGGAAAUAUGGUUAUGAUAACAUGAUGAUUGAACUGACUUAUGUUUACAUGGCUGCUAGAUGUAUGGUUCAUUGGCUUUGAAAGGCAUUGGUUAUCAUGGAGCAAGGCUUGGUUUUACAUGGUUUGCUUGUGAUUUGACCAUGGAAUAGCUAUGCUUUGGCCAUCAUGUGGAAUUGGAAUGCCAUGGAGCUGAUUUGGCAUGGAUUAUUGCUUGGAAUUAGUUUUGGGAUGUAGGAUAUUUUUUUGGGGGUUUAUGUUUGAAUGAGUGUAAUUUGGAAUUUGUUGUAAUUUUGGAAUUGUAAUGGUUAUGUAAUGGUAUUUGUGACAUUGACAUAAAGAACAAUGGUUGUAACAUGACUUGGUUGAAAUGUAUAGUUCGAAAUGUAAUGAAAUUGGAAUGUAGAAAUGAAUGUAAUUUUGGAAUUUGAAUGAAAUUA
This 1394-nucleotide long non-coding RNA is filed under the name Lathyrus oleraceus (garden pea). RNAcentral describes it as "Pisum sativum (pea) long non-coding RNA (PSAT_LNC030454)". Lineage: Eukaryota; Viridiplantae; Streptophyta; Magnoliopsida; Fabales; Fabaceae. The record is from RNAcentral.